Cynara cardunculus var. scolymus (artichoke) is the source of this 501-nucleotide long non-coding RNA. RefSeq lists it as uncharacterized. The record is from RefSeq and is a predicted model, not a curated record. Lineage: Eukaryota; Viridiplantae; Streptophyta; Magnoliopsida; Asterales; Asteraceae. The transcript is spliced from 3 exons.
AGGAUGAUAUUAUCAUACCACGUAAAAAAUAAAGGUUAAUACACCUUUUAUUCUUGAUAUGAAUUUUGAUGCUAACUUUUUUGUUUCAAUGUAGCAGGCUGUAGCUGGUAAGGAUUAUCACCUUGCAUCAGGAUCUUCUGAACCCUUCGCCGAUCCUCCUGGCUUCCAUGGGCAGGUUUCUAUGCUACUUAGUGAAUGGUGCCAGAUAUGGGAUUGCCUUGAUGUUAAUGAUGCAACUCGUGCUCAUUAUGUUCUACAACUUAAUAGAAAUGUGUUGUCGAAAGCUGAUGAUAUGCCAGAACGCUUUUUCCACGUUCUCUUGGAGCUUGCUCUAUCACACUAUCUAGCUUCCGAGGGGAUCAACUCUAGCCAUCCGCAAUUGCAUCUACAAGCAGAUCCUUCACCUUUCCUUGUUAUUGAUUCAUAUGCUGACCUUGUUUUUACAAUCUUGAAGGUAGGAAUCACCGACCCUGUAGUCCGGAACUUUCUUUUAUCUAUGCA